CAGGAAUUAGUUACCUGUUNGUCCNCGCCUUAAACGNUGAACACUNGUUUGUUNUGCGAUAUACUGUACGCGACUGAGCGAAAGCAUUAAGUGUUCCACCUGGGGAGUACGUUCGCAAGAUUGNAACUCAAAGGAAUUGACGGGGGCCCGCACAAGCGGAGGAACAUGUGGUUUAAUUCGAUGAUACGCGAGGAACCUUACCCGGGUUUAAAUGCAGGACGAAAUUCUGAGAAAUCAGAACCCCUUCGGGCGGACUGCAAGGUGCUGCAUGGCUGUCGUCAGCUCGUGCCGUGAGGUGUCGGGUUAAGUCCCAUAACGAGCGCAACCCCUAUCAUUAGUUGCUAACAGAUCAAGCUGAGGACUCUAAUGAGACUGCCACCGUAAGGUGUGAGGAAGGUGGGGAUGACGUCAAGUCAGCACGGCCCUUAUAUCCGGGGCUACACACGUGUUACAAUGGUCGAUACAAAGGGCAGCUACACCGCGAGGUGAUGCAAAUCUCAAAAAUCGAUCUCAGUUCGGAUUGGAGUCUGCAACUCGACUCCAUGAAGUUGGAUUCGCUAGUAAUCGUGCAUCAGCAACGGCACGGUGAAUACGUUCCCGGGCCUUGUACACACCGCCCGUCAAGCCAUGGAAGCUGAGGGUACCUGAAGUCUGUAACCGCAAGGAGCGGCCUAAGGUAAAAUUAGUAACUGGGGCUAAGUGGUAACAAGGUAACCAAGGGCGAA
This 725-nucleotide ribosomal RNA is filed under the name uncultured bacterium. Its description in RNAcentral is "bacterial SSU rRNA". It matches the Rfam family "Bacterial small subunit ribosomal RNA", at positions 773 to 1510 of the family's 1533-position model. The record is from RNAcentral.